GAGGUAACGCUGGCGGCGUGCCUCAAACAUGCAAGUCGAGCGGGGCUAUGUAAUAUCGCAAGGUAGAACAUAGCCUAGCGGCGAACGGGUGAGUAACACGUGGGUAACCUGCCUGGAAGACAGGGAUAACGAUUCGAAAGGGUCGCUAAUACCUGAUAAUAUCCUUUCAUCGCAUGGUGAUAGGAAGAAAGGGGAAACCCGCUUUCAGAUGGGCCCGCGUCCCAUCAGCUAGUUGGUAAGGUAAAGGCUUACCAAGGCGACGACGGGUAGCCGGUCUGAGAGGAUGUACGGCCACACUGGGACUGAGAUACGGCCCAGACUCCUACGGGAGGCAGCAGUUGGGAAUCUUAGGCAAUGGACGAAAGUCUGACCUAGCGACGCCGCGUGAGGGAAGAAGGCCUUCGGGUUGUAAACCUCUGUCAUGGGGGAAGAAGGAAGUGACGGUACCCCAAGAGGAAGCCCCUGCUAACUACGUG
This 476-nucleotide ribosomal RNA is filed under the name uncultured bacterium. RNAcentral's name for it is "bacterial SSU rRNA". It matches the Rfam family "Bacterial small subunit ribosomal RNA", at positions 27 to 507 of the family's 1533-position model. The record is from RNAcentral.